AACGUUCACAAAAACCAAAUCCGGAACAACAUUAAACUACUCAGUUACGCCCUAACAGUAUAACUUUGCAACGAGUACUUUUUCUCAUUCAAUCGAACAAAGUGUAAAAGCUAAUUAUAUUGUUCUAUUAUGCCCCGAGAGUGUAAAUUUGGAACGAAUCGAUGUCAACGUUCACAAGAACCAAAAUCGGAACAACAUUAGACUACUCAGUUGUGCCCUAACAGUAUAACUUUGCAACGAGUACUUUUUCUCAUUCUAUCGAACAAAGAGUAAAACCUAUUUAUAUUGUUCUAUUAUGCCCCGAGAGUGUAAAUAUAAAACGAAUCGAUGUCAACAUUCACAAGAACCAAAACCGGAACAACAUUAGACUCCUCAAUUGUGCCCUAACAGUAUAAAUUUGCAACGAGUACUUUUUCUCAUUCUAUCGAAUAAAGAGUAAAACCUAAUUAUAUUGUUCUAUUAUGCCUUGAGAGAGUAAAUUUGAAACGAAUCGAUGUCAACGUUCACAAGAACCAAAAUCGGAACAAUAUCAGUUGCGUCUUAACAAUAUAACUUUGCAACCAGUACUUUUUCUCAUUCGAUCAAACAAAGUGUAAAAGCUAAUUAUAUUGUUCUGUUAUGCCCCGAGAGUGUAAAUUUGGAACGAAUCGAUGUCAACCUUCACAAGAACCAAAAUCGGAACAACAUUAGACUACUCAGUUGCGCCCUAACAGUAACUUUUGCAAUGAAUACUUUUUCUCAUUCUAUCGAACAAAUAGUAAAACCUAAUUAUAUUGUUCUAUUAUGCCCCGAGAGAGUAAAUUUGGAACGAAUCGAUGUCAAUGUUCACAAGAAUCAAAAUCGGAACAACAUUUGACUACUCAGUUGCGC
Molecule: long non-coding RNA, 870 nt
Filed under: Ananas comosus (pineapple)
Lineage: Eukaryota; Viridiplantae; Streptophyta; Magnoliopsida; Poales; Bromeliaceae
Description: long non-coding RNA (ACOM_LNC022393)
Source: RNAcentral